GCUGUGGGGGAGAUGCUGUGCACCGUGUGUUAAGUAGACUGCCCUCGUCCGUCUCCUCCAGGUCCUUGUCUGUCUGUGUGACGUGUCUGUACAGUUCCCAGGAAACCAAGUCUCUCUGUGUGACGUGAUGGUUACAUCGGCCACAACACAGGGUGUUUCCAAGACAGAGGUUAUACUGUCAUGAAAAGUGUGUUUUAUUUGUCUGUUGGCAAGAAAUGCGCGUUUGACCUGUGUGUACUAAGGUGAGCUUGUCCUGCCUCUGUUGGCACCAAGAGUCUUUGCUGUGCUUGCAGUAAACUGUACCGAGGGCACACGCAUCAACUACGGCAAGAGAAUCUGGGAAGAGUGCCCUCUGGGACCUACCAGGACGAACCUUACCAGACAAGCUGUAAGAACUGUUCCGCAGGAAUGAGUACAAGUACCAAUGGCACGAGACUGGCCUCGGACUGUGAGACGUUUUGCCAGAUUGGCUUUGAGAAGAACUCGGUGACAGACACGUGUGAUGAAUGCCAGAGAGGCUUCUACAAAAA
Molecule: long non-coding RNA, 530 nt
Organism: Pomacea canaliculata
Lineage: Eukaryota; Metazoa; Mollusca; Gastropoda; Architaenioglossa; Ampullariidae
Exons: 2
Source: RefSeq, a predicted model, not a curated record